GCUUGCACCUGAUUGAUUUUGGUCGCCAACGAGUGGCGGACGGGUGAGUAACACGUAGGUAACCUGCCCAGAAGCGGGGGACAACAUUUGGAAACAGAUGCUAAUACCGCAUAACAGCGUUGUUCGCAUGAACAACGCUUAAAAGAUGGCUUCUCGCUAUCACUUCUGGAUGGACCUGCGGUGCAUUAGCUUGUUGGUGGGGUAACGGCCUACCAAGGCGAUGAUGCAUAGCCGAGUUGAGAGACUGAUCGGCCACAAUGGGACUGAGACACGGCCCAUACUCCUACGGGAGGCAGCAGUAGGGAAUCUUCCACAAUGGGCGCAAGCCUGAUGGAGCAACACCGCGUGAGUGAAGAAGGGUUUCGGCUCGUAAAGCUCUGUUGUUAAAGAAGAACACGUAUGAGAGUAACUGUUCAUACGUUGACGGUAUUUAACCAGAAAGUCACGGCUAACUACGUGCCAGCAGCCGCGGUAAUACGUAGGUGGCAAGCGUUAUCCGGAUUUAUUGGGCGUAAAGAGAGUGCAGGCGGUUUUCUAAGUCUGAUGUGAAAGCCUUCGGCUUAACCGGAGAAGUGCAUCGGAAACUGGAUAACUUGAGUGCAGAAGAGGGUAGUGGAACUCCAUGUGUAGCGGUGGAAUGCGUAGAUAUAUGGAAGAACACCAGUGGCGAAGGCGGCUACCUGGUCUGCAACUGACGCUGAGACUCGAAAGCAUGGGUAGC
This 721-nucleotide ribosomal RNA is filed under the name Limosilactobacillus fermentum. RNAcentral describes it as "bacterial SSU rRNA". It matches the Rfam family "Bacterial small subunit ribosomal RNA", at positions 66 to 769 of the family's 1533-position model. The record is from RNAcentral. Lineage: Bacteria; Bacillati; Bacillota; Bacilli; Lactobacillales; Lactobacillaceae.